CACAAGCGGUGGAGCAUGUGGCUUAAUUCGAAGCAACGCGAAGAACCUUACCAGGUCUUGACAUCCCGAUGCUAUUUCUAGAGAUAGAAAGUUACUUCGGUACAUCGGUGACAGGUGGUGCAUGGUUGUCGUCAGCUCGUGUCGUGAGAUGUUGGGUUAAGUCCCGCAACGAGCGCAACCCCUAUUGUUAGUUGCCAUCAUUCAGUUGGGCACUCUAGCGAGACUGCCGGUAAUAAACCGGAGGAAGUGGGGAUGACGUCAAAUCAUCAUGCCCCUUAUGACCUGGGCUACACACGUGCUACAAUGGUUGGUACAACGAGUUGCGAGUCGGUGACGGCGAGCUAAUCUCUUAAAGCCAAUCUCAGUUCGGAUUGUAGGCUGCAACUCGCCUACAUGAAGUCGGAAUCGCUAGUAAUCGCGGAUCAGCACGCCGCGGUGAAUACGUUCCCGGGCCUU
This 456-nucleotide ribosomal RNA is filed under the name uncultured Streptococcus sp. RNAcentral describes it as "bacterial SSU rRNA". It matches the Rfam family "Bacterial small subunit ribosomal RNA", at positions 924 to 1382 of the family's 1533-position model. Lineage: Bacteria; Bacillati; Bacillota; Bacilli; Lactobacillales; Streptococcaceae. The record is from RNAcentral.